This is a long non-coding RNA of Passer domesticus (house sparrow), 437 nucleotides long. RefSeq lists it as uncharacterized. The record is from RefSeq and is a predicted model, not a curated record. NCBI's taxonomy places the organism in Eukaryota, Metazoa, Chordata, Aves, Passeriformes, Passeridae. The transcript is spliced from 3 exons.
AUCCCCCAGCGUAGUACCUGUGAUCAAGGACCAACCCCUCCAAGCUGUUGGUGAAGAUAUUCAACCUGCAGGUGAAGCAGAACAGCAACAUUUUAUGGUCACCAGGACUGGGGAACAUUUGGAUCAGACUCCUGGAUCCCAGCUCACUCCUGGAUACAGCAACUGCUCCAGCUUUUCUCUGUUCAGUGUCUGCCUGAAGUCACAUCAGAUCAUGCUCAGCCUCAAUUUUUCUCAUCUGACUGGUCCCCACAGUCGUCAUCCCCAUUGCAGAGCAGCCUCCGUGCAAUGCAUCUCUCUAGGAUGGAAGGGGAAAGUCAUCCAUAAAACAACCUGUGAUCACACUCCCUGACAUGGAGACUAGGAGCAAAACAGAAAAUUCCUGGAAUGAAUGAUUCAAAUCAAGCUGGAAAAUAAAAAAUCUUCUCUAUUUGCAUGGA